This 253-nucleotide ribosomal RNA is filed under the name uncultured bacterium. RNAcentral's name for it is "partial 16S ribosomal RNA". It matches the Rfam family "Bacterial small subunit ribosomal RNA", at positions 524 to 776 of the family's 1533-position model. The record is from RNAcentral.
UACGUAGGGUGCAAGCGUUGUCCGGAAUUAUUGGGCGUAAAGAGCUCGUAGGCGGUUUGUCGCGUCUGCUGUGAAAACCCGAGGCUCAACCUCGGGCCUGCAGUGGGUACGGGCAAACUAGAGUGCGGUAGGGGAGAUUGGAAUUCCUGGUGUAGCGGUGGAAUGCGCAGAUAUCAGGAGGAACACCGAUGGCGAAGGCAGAUCUCUGGGCCGUAACUGACGCUGAGGAGCGAAAGCAUGGGGAGCGAACAGG